This 461-nucleotide ribosomal RNA is filed under the name Rothia dentocariosa. RNAcentral describes it as "bacterial SSU rRNA". It matches the Rfam family "Bacterial small subunit ribosomal RNA", at positions 28 to 499 of the family's 1533-position model. Lineage: Bacteria; Bacillati; Actinomycetota; Actinomycetes; Micrococcales; Micrococcaceae. The record is from RNAcentral.
GACGAACGCUGGCGGCGUGCUUAACACAUGCAAGUCGAACGAUGAAGCCUAGCUUGCUAGGUGGAUUAGUGGCGAACGGGUGAGUAAUACGUGAGUGACCUACCUUUGACUCUGGGAUAAGCCUGGGAAACUGGGUCUAAUACCGGAUACGACCAAUCUCCGCAUGGGGUGUUGGUGGAAAGCGUUAUGGAGUGGUUUUAGAUGGGCUCACGGCCUAUCAGCUUGUUGGUGAGGUAAUGGCUUACCAAGGCGACGACGGGUAGCCGGCCUGAGAGGGUGACCGGCCACACUGGGACUGAGACACGGCCCAGACUCCUACGGGAGGCAGCAGUGGGGAAUAUUGCACAAUGGGCGCAAGCCGGAUGCAGCGACGCCGCGUGAGGGAUGACGGCCUUCGGGUUGUAAACCUCUGUUAGCAUCGAAGAAGCGAAAGUGACGGAGGGCAGAGAAAGCGCCGCAUC